This 5764-nucleotide long non-coding RNA is filed under the name Ananas comosus (pineapple). RNAcentral's name for it is "long non-coding RNA (ACOM_LNC004401)". Lineage: Eukaryota; Viridiplantae; Streptophyta; Magnoliopsida; Poales; Bromeliaceae. The record is from RNAcentral.
GAAUUUGUGGGUGAGUGGGGGAAUUUGGGAAUAAAACAUAGAGGAGAUUUAAAAAAAAAAAAAACGAUUUUUAUGAUUAUUAUUAUUAUUAUAAUUAUUUUUCUAACCUAACAAAAGUUAAUUAAUUAGCAGAGACAGGAAACCAAAUAUAAGAAGAUUCUUCCACUCGGGGGAUGGAAAACAAGUAAUCGGGGAAUUUGAAGAUAGCUUCAAUCAUUUACAAUUAUGACAUGACUUGAUAUCUUAUAUUAUAUUCUAGGAAUCGUAUAAAUGUCCAAAAUGUCAUGAUUUACUAAGCAAAAAAAAUAAUUGAGGAAACUAACAACAUGCACAAUGAAUCAAUGAUACACAAAUUGUUUAUUAAGCAAAGGUACUUAAUUAUGGAGAAAGUUUAAAUAUUGAAAGUAGGUUGUACGGUUUGAAAAGAACAUGACUCGUGCUCUUAUCUAAAAUUAGGGACAAUGAAAAAUAAUCUACCUAGAAUUCACCAUAUUCGAUCAAUCGACCAACUACAUAUCCGAGCCAAAUGUUUAUCCACAAAAAAGUCUAUAGUUAUGGUUGAUUUUUCUUUCUUUCUUUUUUUAUUAAUUUUACUAUUUUAUCUUUCAAUUUGUUUGAUUUUAAUCAAUCGAUGGAUUGAAACAAGAGAUUUGAGAAAUUUUCUGUAUAUUAUUCAUCUAAAUCCAUUCUCUUAUAUAGAGAGAGGAAAAGCUUUACAUGGAAGUACAGGAUUAUAUCCUGUUAUACAAAGAAAUAAAUAAUACUAUCCUAAUAAGAAAGUAAUAUACAUAGUAAUAUAUAUAUAUUAUAUAUGGUAACAUAUAUAAUAUAUAUAUGGUAUGUAAUAUAUAUGGUAACACCCCUCCGCAAACUCAAGGUGGGUUAAACACCGAGAGUUUGGAUAAAAGAAAAUGAUGACGUUGUGUGGUAUGAGACUUUGUGAAGAAGUCGGCAAGCUGAAGACGAGAAGAUAUAAACGGUAAGGCCAGUGUGCCAUUAAGAAAAUGAUGCCGAACGAAGUGACAAUCAAUUUCAAUAUGUUUAGUGCGUUCAUGAAAUACCGGAUUAUUAGCAAUCUUGAUGGCACUUUGAUUGUCACAAUACAGAGGUGUCGGAGUAGAGCAAGUAAUGCCAAUAUCACCAAGAAGACGACGAAGCCAAACAAUCUCAGAUGCUGUAGCAGACAUAGCACGAUACUCAGCUUCGGCACUAGAUUUGGAGACAAUAUUCUGUUUCUUAGCUCGCCAGGAAAUAAGCGAAUCACCAAGAAAGAUGCAAUAACCCGUGGUGGAUCGACGAUCAGUAUGGUCCCCAGCCCAAUCAGCGUCAGAAUAAGCUCGAAGUGCAAGUUCCGAGGUAGAAGAAAAGAAAAGACUCUGGUUAAUAGUGCCACGAAGAUAGCGGAGAAUGCGAAGAACAGCAGCAUAGUGAACAGAAGUUGGUUCCUGAACAAAUUGGCUUACUAUGUGGACAGCAUAAGCAAUAUCUGGACGAGAGAUAGUGAGAUAAAUAAGAGCUCCAACUAACUCCCGAUAGCGCGUGGGAUUUGAAAGUGGCUCACCCAUGGUAGGAGUCAGUUUUUGAUGAAGUUGCAUAGGAGUAUUGACUGUGUCAUUGUCAGUAAUACCAGCACGAGAGAUGAGAUCCGCUGUGUACUUCCGUUGAGAUAGCAAAUAGCCUUUAGAACCGUAGGCUACUUCAAUACCUAGAAAAUAACGGAGAAGCCCGAGAUCCUUCAUUUCAAAUUGACGUUGAAAGAAAGCUUUGAUAAAAUGUAUAAAAUCGGGAUCAUCACCAGUGAUAAUCAUAUCAUCAACAUAGAGAAGUAAAACAGUAGUACCACGAGCAGAAGAGUGAAUGAAUAAUGCAUGAUCAUUUUCACUCUGACGAAAACCAGCAGAGAUAACGGCAGUCGAGAACUUCUCAAACCAAGCACGAGGAGCUUGUUUAAGACCAUACAACGCCUUGCGAAGUAAGCAGACAUGACCAGGCGGAUGAUUAAGACCAGGAGGUGGCUCCAUGUAAACUUCUUCGUGAAGAUCACCAUGUAAAAAAGCAUUCUUAACAUCAAGUUGAUAUAACGGCCAACCACGAGAGGCAGCAACAGCAAUAAGAACGCGAACAGAGGUCAUUUUGGCAACCGGAGCAAAUGUCUCCUCGUAAUCGAUGCCAUACUCUUGAGUAAAGCCGCGAGCAACCAAGCGAGCCUUAUAUCGAUCAAUAGAACCAUCAGACUUCGUCUUAACUUUGUAGAUCCAUUUGCAACUGAUUGGAACCUUUCCUGGAGGAAGAGGAACAAGCGUCCAGGUACCGGUGUUGUGAAGAGCCUUAAGUUCGUCAGACAUAGCAUCUUGCCACUCAGGAAUGGUAGCAGCUUGGCGGUAUGUUCGUGGUUCCUGGUGAGUAUGGAUGGUAGCAAGAAAAGAAUGGAAAUGGGGAGAAAGAGAAUGUGAGGUAACACAACCAAAGAACCUUUUGGGCUGGCGCUCUCGAAGGGGAUAGCGACGCACGGAUGUCGGAGGAUCGUCGGUUGGAGCUUCGACAGAAGGACCAUCAUGAGAGGCAUGAACUUCACUUUCAUCUGCAGGAGAGGUAUUAGGAGAGAUAGAGUCCUCAGGAAAAGAGGAAUGCUCUGGAAAAGAAUCAUGCAAAAAGGAAAGAUCGAUAGGGGCAGAUGAAGAAGAUGCAGUGGCUGGUGUGGGUUGGGCAUAAUAGAGAAGAUGCUCAAAGAAAAUCACAUCACGAGAAAUCCGAAGACGUCUCGUGUUAGGAUCAUAGCAACGAUACCCUUUAUGCUCAAGACUAUACCCUAGAAAGAUACAAAUAGCAGAUUUAGGAGACAGUUUAUUUCGUUCGUGAGGAGGUAGCAAAACAAGGCAAGUGCAACCGAAGACUCGUAGAUGAUCAUAUGAAGGAGGCUUGGCAAACAACCGCUCACUAGGAGAGACACCUGAAAGGACACUGGAAGGCAUAAUGUUGAUUAAGUAAACAGCUGUAUUGACAGCAUCAGCCCAAAAUUGUGAAGGAACAGAACUAUCAAAAAGAAGAGACCGAGCAGUAUCCAUGAUAUGACGAUGCUUUCUUUCAGCAACCCCAUUUUGUUGAUGAGCAUAUGGGCAAGAAAGCUGAGGUAAGGUGCCUUGACUUGCAAGAAUUUGUCUGAAUUCAGAAGAGAUAUAUUCACCACCAGAGUCUGAACGAAAAAUUUUAAUAUUUGUGCCAAAUUGAUUUUGAAUCAUAACUGUAAAAUUUUUAUAUAUUUGCAAUAGUUCAGACCGGUUGUUCAUAAAAUAUAUCCAGGUAAAACGAGAAUAGUCAUCCACAAAGAUCACAUAGUAUCGAUUACCAAUACGUGUAGAAAUAGGAGCAGGACCCCAAACAUCAGAAUGAAUUAAAUCAAAAGCAGCAUGAGAGACAGAGUUACUAGCAGGAAAAGGUUGAGUAGUAUGUUUAGCAAGUUUGCAACCCAUACAACUAAGAUUAUUGGAAACAGAAAAUUUGCCUAAUACACCACGACGAACUAAAACAUUAAGAUGUUCGAAAGAAAGGUGACCUAAGCGACGAUGCCAUAAAGUAGAGCUAGAGAUGGUUGAAGUAGUGGUGGCGUUAACAGAGUUAUGGUUGGAUGGUAGAUGCAGAUGAUCCAUGUAGUACAAGCCAUCACGCCUAUGGCCCUGUCCAAUCAAAGUCCCUGUUCGACGAUCCUGAACACGACAAGAAGAUGAGUCAAAUGUAACUGUACAAUCAUGAUCAGUAAUUUGGCUAACAGAUAAAAGAUUUAAAGAAAGUUUUGGUAUGUGUAAAACAGAGGGCACAUAAAAUUUGGCAGAAUUACCAAUGGUAGGUGAUAAUGUACCAUAAUGAGUAACAGGAAGUGGUGUACCAUCAGCAGUAAAAAUAUUGAGCGGAGAAGACAAUAGGGAAGGUGAAGAAAGUAAUGAAUCAUGUGGAGUCAUAUGAAAAGAAGCACCUGAGUCUAGAACCCAGGAAUUCUUAGAAUUACCUCCAAAGCUAGGUGUUGAAAGGGAACCAAAACCUGGUGGUGCUGAUGAUGUCUGAGGACUGGAUUCUGGCUCUUUUGGAGUCGAGUUAUUCAGAUUGCUCUGUUGAAGUAGCUGCAUUAGUUGAGGCCAGCUGAGUUGAGUAGAAGCAGUGUGAUGUCCUACGUUGUUAGAAGAAGUAUUGAAAGGAUGCUCGAUCUGCAAAGUAGAAGCAGCAGCAGGAUAACCACGUGGAGAAUGUCGUUGUUGAUCAGCCCACUUCUUUUUCCUGCAAUCUUGAAUAUGAUGCCCCCAGAGUUGGCAAUAUUUGCAUUGGAUAUUGCGUUUGUUCUUUCGAGGAACAAACGAAUUAGUAGAACUCAAAGGCUCAGGAGGAACUUGAUUGGGAGCAGCAAGUACAGUCGGUGUUGAAGGACUGGAGGAAUGCAAUACUCGAAGACGAGUUUCCUCUGCAAUAAGCUCUGCAAGUGCAGCAUCAAUGGUGGGUAGCGGAGAUCGAUGAAGAAGUUGGCCUCGUAAGGCCUCGAACUCUGGCCGUAGACGCAUAAUAAAUUGAAAAAGACGCUGUUGAUCACGAAUUUGCGUUUGUUUGGUAGCACAAGUGCAAGCCAAACAAGUCUGGCAUAAUGAUUCGUCCAUGAUGGAUAGUUGGCGCCACCGUGCUUGCAUAAAGCUAUAGAACUCCUGAAUGGAGCGUUCACCUUGAUGGGCCGAUGUGAUCUCUUGGAAUUCAGCAUAUGAUUGAGCAUGGCUAGAUUGCUCAUAUAGUUUUUGAAGAUGAGCCCACAUUUGCUGAGCUGUAGUGAAACUCACCAACUGCAUUCUGAUGUCAAUUUCUACAGACGUGGAUAUAAUUCCACGAGUACGUCUGUCAGCAUUAUUCCACUCUUUGAGUUUCUUCUCAUCAGCAGGAGGGCUAGUGUCAUUAAUAUGAUCUGUUAAGUCUAGGGCAUCAAGUAAAAGUUUUACAGACACCGACCACUCCCGGUAAUUAGAACCAGAUAAUUUGACAUCUAGUUGAGGAAAUUGAUUGGUAGAAGAUGUCAUAACUUAAAUAAAUAAAGAGAAGAGAUAGAAUGGACAAAUCUGAAGAAGUGGCUUGCUAGAGACUCCUAGCAACUUGGUCAGACGUAUGUCGAGAUAUGAUGCGCAGCCACACAGACGUGAUGAUGACAAUCGCAGCCCCAGUUAACCACUAGGAUAGGAUCGUGUCGUCCUCGGACGUGGUGCUGAUCUGGACGAACAAUUCGCCUUCUGAGGAGAUGAGCAAAAGUCGUCGAAAGAGAAUAAAACCCUAGAAGGGCUCUGAUACCAUGAAACAAGAGAUUUGAGAAAUUUUCUGUAUAUUAUUCAUCUAAAUCCAUUCUCUUAUAUAGAGAGAGGAAAAGCUUUACAUGGAAGUACAGGAUUAUAUCCUGUUAUACAAAGAAAUAAAUAAUACUAUCCUAAUAAGAAAGUAAUAUACAUAGUAAUAUAUAUAUAUUAUAUAUGGUAACAUAUAUAAUAUAUAUAUGGUAUGUAAUAUAUAUGGUAACAUGGAUAAAUUUAAAUUCAGUACUUAAUUUAAUAAAUUUACCGAAGUUGUAAAAAUAAAUCACACAUCUAGAAUUUAAAGUUAAGGUAUCGUUGACUUACUCAAAUCAAAUAAAUUGAAAAGUUGAAUAAUAAAAUUAAAAAUUUGAAAGAUUGAAUAGCCGAAACUCAAAAUAAUUUAUAAUUCAGAUAAAUUUUAUAUUUUUUUUAUCUUAAAUUUUCAAACAAAU